This 253-nucleotide ribosomal RNA is filed under the name uncultured bacterium. RNAcentral's name for it is "partial 16S ribosomal RNA". It matches the Rfam family "Bacterial small subunit ribosomal RNA", at positions 524 to 776 of the family's 1533-position model. The record is from RNAcentral.
UACGUAGGGUGCAAGCGUUAAUCGGAAUUACUGGGCGUAAAGCGUGCGCAGGCGGUUUUGUAAGUCAGAUGUGAAAUCCCCGGGCUUAACCUGGGAACUGCGUUUGAAACUACAAGGCUAGAGUGUGGCAGAGGGGGGUGGAAUUCCACGUGUAGCAGUGAAAUGCGUAGAGAUGUGGAGGAACACCGAUGGCGAAGGCAGCCCCCUGGGUUAACACUGACGCUCGGGCACGAAAGCGUGGGGAGCAAACAGG